UAACCAUCUUAACACUCACCAACCAUGCGACUGACGAAUUGCCGUGGCCACCAAACUGUCAAAUUCAAAUCAGCCAACUGCAAUAUUCCUAUGCCCAGUACCAGCUAUUUUGGCUGAGGCCCUUUUUAUCAGUUGUUCAUUUUAUUGGAGUCUCAUCUUGCAACUUUUUUUUCUCUCUAUUUCUCCCUCCACCGUGGUCCUUACCCUCACCGAGGCGCAUAGAAGGGGCAACAAGGCAUGUUGGCUGAUUGGCAUCGCAAGUCAAUAUGCCAUUCGUGGUCAUUUGUGUCUUGGUUUUGGUAUAUUCUGUGGGGGGCGGGAACACAAACUUUCGCUAUCGCGAUCUCCCAGCAACAAACGAGUCAGGUCCUCUGCUACACCUUUAACACCAAUUACGAUUCUGGAAGGUUCUCACCAUUACUGACUAUACCUGUCAAUUGGCUGAUCUUGGAUACCUGGUAGCGGCUUUGCUCUUCUUCGUCGAAAUUUCAUCUGAAAGUACAGCCAGCGACGCCGACUCUCGUGCAAUGACCGCACUGGUUGACUGGUUGAUAUAUCGAACGGAACUCACUCUCCCCUUCUUUUACGGACACCGCAGACCACGAUCCGACUCAGAAAUUGCCUCAUUUCUGAAGGGGGAAAAAUCUUGAGGCUCAGAUUCGAAAUUUGUAGUGAACCUUGGGCCAUGCCAAAUCUGCCGCAUUUCUGCUGUCAACUUGGGGAGGCAAGUAAGUGUGAUUGAUAACGGAAUGCAGCUCAUCUACCAGGAU
Non-coding RNA from Neurospora crassa OR74A, 770 nucleotides. The record is from RefSeq and is a predicted model, not a curated record. Lineage: Eukaryota; Fungi; Ascomycota; Sordariomycetes; Sordariales; Sordariaceae.